AUACGUAGGUGGCAAGCGUUGUCCGGAAUUACUGGGCGUAAAGGAUGCGUAGGCGGAUAUGUAAGUCAGAUGUGAAAUACCCGGGCUCAACUUGGGUGCUGCAUUUGAAACUGCAUGUCUAGAGUGCGGGAGAGGAAAGUGGAAUUCCUAGUGUAGCGGUGAAAUGCGUAGAUAUUGGGAGGAACACCAGUGGCGAAGGCGGCUUUCUGGACGGUGUCUGACGCUGAGGCGCGAAAGCCAGGGGAGC
RNAcentral lists this ribosomal RNA (247 nucleotides) under uncultured bacterium. RNAcentral's name for it is "partial 16S ribosomal RNA". It matches the Rfam family "Bacterial small subunit ribosomal RNA", at positions 523 to 769 of the family's 1533-position model. The record is from RNAcentral.